This 497-nucleotide ribosomal RNA is filed under the name uncultured bacterium. RNAcentral's name for it is "partial 16S ribosomal RNA". It matches the Rfam family "Bacterial small subunit ribosomal RNA", at positions 28 to 507 of the family's 1533-position model. The record is from RNAcentral.
GAUGAACGCUGGCGGCGUGCCUAAUACAUGCAAGUCGAGCGAACAGACGAGGAGCUUGCUCCUCUGACGUUAGCGGCGGACGGGUGAGUAGCACGUGGAUAACCUACCUAUAAGACUGGGAUAACUUCGUGAAACCGGAGCUAAUACCGGAUAAUAUAUUGAACCGCAUGGUUCAAUAGUGAAAGACGGUUUUGCUGUCACUUAUAGCUGGAUCCGCGCCGCAUUAGCUAGUUGGUAAGGUAACGGCUUACCAAGGCGACGAUGCGUAGCCGACCUGAGAGGGUGAUCGGCCACACUGGAACUGAGACACGGUCCAGACUCCUACGGGAGGCAGCAGUAGGGAAUCUUCCGCAAUGGGCGAAAGCCUGACGGAGCAACGCCGCGUGAGUGAUGAAGGUCUUCGGAUCGUAAAACUCUGUUAUUAGGGAAGAACAAAUGUGUAAGUAACUAUGCACGUCUUGACGGUACCUAAUCAGAAAGCCACGGCUAACUACGUG